CAACAACCUCUUGUAGAUGCUAUGCAUUACAAAAUUUAAGAUGUGAUCAAACUUUUAGAGGAACAUGGUGCAAAGCCUCCGAUGGCUCAUCACAUGCACGUUAAAAAUGCACGCGAAGUCCCCGAGUAUGAGAUCGAUCCCAAGGAGCUUGUUUUAUCUCAGAAAAUGAUAACCAAG
Humulus lupulus (European hop) is the source of this 177-nucleotide long non-coding RNA. RefSeq lists it as uncharacterized. The transcript is spliced from 2 exons. The record is from RefSeq and is a predicted model, not a curated record. Lineage: Eukaryota; Viridiplantae; Streptophyta; Magnoliopsida; Rosales; Cannabaceae.